RNAcentral lists this long non-coding RNA (341 nucleotides) under Helianthus annuus (common sunflower). RNAcentral's name for it is "sRNA HanXRQr2_Chr08g0337921". Lineage: Eukaryota; Viridiplantae; Streptophyta; Magnoliopsida; Asterales; Asteraceae. The record is from RNAcentral.
UAUGCUAGGAAUAUGCUAUAUGGAAGGUCUAUAAAUACCACCAUACCAUAACUCCAUCAUUCCACACUCAACACUACACUCCAUCUCCUCCCUCCUUCCCCAAAUCGGCAGCCAUCAACCACCACCCUACCACCAUCAUUCGACCUUGUUCCAUCCAUUCUAUUACCAUACAAGGGUGCAAGGAGACACACAACGAAGCUUGGUGCGUUCGGAAGUCGAAGGACCGAUCUCGUUUUCUUUUAUCCACCACUUUUCUACACUCGAACACCCCUAGCCUUGUGCUAGUAUUAAUGAUGGCGGAUAAACAAUUUGAGGGAUUGUGUUAACAUUUAAAAACGCAC